ACUUACUCACGUGUCUCAUUCUGAAUUUUCGGUCAUUUCCUGACGGCGGAAUUUCGCGUGUUGGAGAAACACGUAAUACUUACUCCUGGUGUCAGACUGACGAAUUACCUACAUACUUUGCGGGAUCCUUACAUUCGUUAACAAAAUUAGUUUGAAGCAUUUUUCAAAUAAAAUAAUAAUUUUUCAAGGACAGAGCGUUUAAAAUCGAGGAAAUAGCAUAAUUAUGUAGCGUAAACUUUCUCCUAGCUGCUCAGUGAAUGCAGCUGUGUAAAAUCCACCGCGCAAGCAUCACGCACAGCUUAGCAACAUUGACAGUCGUUUCGUGCAGACCAUUGCAGUAUGGUUCGUUUAGAAAUAAAAGUGGGAAGGGUUUCUGCUGGUUCAAAUCUUCACUGCAUCAACACAAAUGUGAUUUAUUACUUUUAGAGUAAACAAAAAAUACAAAAAGUUGAUUUGAAUCUGCAGUUUAAAUUUUCUGUCUAACGCGGUAUCUGGGAAAAUCGUCUGUCAUACUUUAGAUGAAUCACUCUAUAUAUAAGCAAUCUUUUAUAUGUAAAAUUACUGCAAAGCAUUAAAAACUUGCAAAAUUAAGAUUUUAGCAAUUGACUAAUUAAGCAUAAAUGCCACUUUUUUAUAUUCUUUGUUUUGUUAAUCAAUCAAAGCCUUUAUUGAAUAUUUAUAGCUAAUAUUUACAAUUUGCUUAUGUUUUUUUCUAUUUGCUUAUUAUUUAUUUAUUUAUUUAAAUAAAGAUUAGAGGGCUUACUCGAUGGUGUUACCCUUAGAAGUUGAAAAGAAGUGAGAAGAACUGAGAUAGUCCAGGACAGAUCACAAAGUCCCACCAUAGGAAGUGUGGUGGACCGCUAGAGAAGGAUGUAUAAUGGAAAUUAUACAGAAGUUAUACUUGCAAUUUUGUCGGUUUUUAUCUGAAAAGAAAAAAAACAAUACAAUGCGUACAAUACAAUCCAGUCAAGAUAUGCCAUCUCCAAAGUUAGGAGACAGGCAAAAACUUGCUGACACACAACUAAAACUGCGUAAAAUACAAGGAUAUCUUGGUCGACAAAACAGGGUUUCACUCAGAACAGAUUAGUUCAGGUAUUAAACACUUACAGCCAGGAAGCAUGCAAUCCGAAGGGAAUCUACCUUAAACAAGGUUGGAAUCCGUACGGAAGUCCACUGCAGUAGAGAUUGUUGAAGGGUUGCAGUUGAAAGGAUUAGUCCAGUGGUUGCUGGUAUCAAGUUGUCUUCAA
RNAcentral lists this long non-coding RNA (1247 nucleotides) under Androctonus crassicauda. The record is from RNAcentral. Lineage: Eukaryota; Metazoa; Arthropoda; Arachnida; Scorpiones; Buthidae.